GCCCCCCGUCUAGUGGACGAUGUAGGACCUCAUAGCAUCAACUUGCGAGCUAACCAGGAACUAAGUUGAGGCGCGGUUGAUCCGCUAUAUUUGGUUGGAUGCUGGUGGUGAGUUGCUGAACCCAACGAAUACAUUCUGAAGUCGGAUGGGGUGAACGGAUUAGGGGUGUCCCUCUCGCAGCGGAGAGCAGGGAACUGCCUCGGGAAAGGGGCCGCUGGUGAAGCUUAACCACCCUGUAACAACAUACAUACAUACAUAUACAUGUACACACACACCAGAUGGACAGACACACAGACAGGCACACAGACAGACACGCACCCUCAGCGCCACCGUGGGGACUCCCCCAGCCAAGAUGUCCUCAAUCAGGUGCUUCUGCUCCAUCUGAGUAAUGCCGUACCCACAGCCCCGGCCACCGCUGCUGUUAUAGAUGAUCAGCCGCACGCCUGCGGAGUCACCGAGUCAGUAUGCGGUGCAGUCACGAGUGUGCGGUGCAGUCACGAGUGUGCGAUGUGGGGGCGAGCAUGCGUG
This 528-nucleotide long non-coding RNA is filed under the name Volvox carteri. RNAcentral's name for it is "long non-coding RNA (VCAR_LNC003072)". The record is from RNAcentral. Lineage: Eukaryota; Viridiplantae; Chlorophyta; Chlorophyceae; Chlamydomonadales; Volvocaceae.